GUUGCUUCGGCGUGGCCACGGCCCGCCGAAGACUAACAUUUGAACACUGUCUGAAGUUUGCAGUCUGAGUUUUUAGUUAAACAAUAAUUAAAACUUUCAACAACGGAUCUCUUGGUUCCGGCAUCGAUGAAGAACGCAGCGAAAUGCGAUAAUUAAUGUGAAUUGCAGAAUUCAGUGAAUCAUCGAGUCUUUGAACGCACAUUGCGCCCCCUGGUAUUCCGGGGGGCAUGCCUGUCCGAGCGUCAUUGCUGCCCUCAAGCACGGCUUGUGUGUUGGGCUUCCGUCCCUGGUAACGGGGACGGGCCCAAAAGGCAGUGGCGGCACCAUGUCUGGUCCUCGAGCGUAUGGGGCUUUGUCACCCGCUCCCGUAGGUCCAGCUGGCAGCUAGCCUCGCAACCAAUCUUUUUAACCAGGUUGACCUCGGAUCAGGUAGGGAUACCCGCUGAACUUAAGCAUAUCAAUAAGCGGAGGAAAAGAAACCAACAGGGAUUGCCUCAGUAACGGCGAGUGAAGCGGCAAGAGCUCAAAUUUGAAAUCUGGCCCCUCCGGGGUCCGAGUUGUAAUUUGUAGAGGAUGCUUCGGGUGCGGCCCCCGUCUAAGUGCUCUGGAACGGGCCAUCGGAGAGGGUGAGAAUCCCGUCUGGGACGGGGUGUCCGCGUCCAUGUGAAGCUCCUUCGACGAGUCGAGUUGUUUGGGAAUGCAGCUCUAAAUGGGUGGUAAAUUUCAUCUAAAGCUAAAUACUGGCCGGAGACCGAUAG
Molecule: ribosomal RNA, 758 nt
Filed under: Aspergillus glaucus
Lineage: Eukaryota; Fungi; Ascomycota; Eurotiomycetes; Eurotiales; Aspergillaceae
Description: eukaryotic LSU rRNA
Rfam family: Eukaryotic large subunit ribosomal RNA (bases 416-758)
Source: RNAcentral